UACGUAGGGUGCGAGCGUUGUCCGGAAUUAUUGGGCGUAAAGAGCUUGUAGGCGGUCUGUCGCGUCUGCUGUGAAAAUCCGGGGCUCAACCCCGGACUUGCAGUGGGUACGGGCAGACUAGAGUGUGGUAGGGGAGACUGGAAUUCCUGGUGUAGCGGUGAAAUGCGCAGAUAUUAGGAGGAACACCGAUGGCGAAGGCAGGUCUCUGGGCCACUACUGACGCUGAGAAGCGAAAGCAUGGGGAGCGAACAGG
RNAcentral lists this ribosomal RNA (253 nucleotides) under uncultured bacterium. RNAcentral's name for it is "partial 16S ribosomal RNA". It matches the Rfam family "Bacterial small subunit ribosomal RNA", at positions 524 to 776 of the family's 1533-position model. The record is from RNAcentral.